Non-coding RNA from Phthorimaea operculella (potato tuberworm), 81 nucleotides. The record is from the annotation of a GenBank genome assembly. Lineage: Eukaryota; Metazoa; Arthropoda; Insecta; Lepidoptera; Gelechiidae.
ACCGCGGUAUUCCAGUUGGUAGAGGCAUCGGCAGUACAGAUCCCGAAGGUCGCAGCGCAGGUUCAAAUCCUGCCUGCGGUG